GGGGCGCGGGGGGUUACUGGGGAGCUGGGGCUGGGCUGGAUUUUCUGCGUGAGCGCGUGGGAGAGGGACACUCCCUUUCUUUCCCACCCCACUGGGUCACGGGAUGGGGUCUGCACGUUGCCGCAAGGGAGACCGGAGGGAGGAUGACGGGGCUGCGGUAAGAGUCUGCGAGGGUUGUUAGUACCGUAGGGGUGGGGGCUGGGCUUGUGCAGGGGUGUCAGCAUUUGCAGGUGGGCAUCAUAGCAGGGCAGGUGCUGCAGGGGUGAGGACGUGAAUGUUACGCAGGCCCUGGUGCGUGGAUGCCACAUCUUUCUCAACUCUGGAGUUCAAUGGUAACACAUGUAUCUCCACCACCUCUGUCAGGAAUGUAUCAUGCCAGGCAACUAGACCCUGAGAUCUGCGAUCUCUGGCUUGGGCUUGGUACAAAGAUGGGAUCAUGGAAUCUUUGCCCCAGAGAUGGUGAGUGGUUGGUAGCCAGUGUAUUACAAGUGAAUCCAACAAGCCCAUCCUGGAGGGAGCUAGGCUGGAAGAACUCAAGGACAGGGGCCUGUGGUAGGAGCAUUUUCACAAAGUCAUCAUCAGAGAUAUUCAGAUAGUUUAAUGGUCUCCUAAACCCCAGACUCCACCUUCUGCAGAGCUCUCCAUUCACUCCACAAGAAGAGGAGGAAAGAAGAUACAAUUGAGGGAAGCCCAAGACAGGAUGGGAGAGGUCUGACCGUGGAAGUGCAGAGGAGACAUUAGAGUUGUGAGCAUCUGAUGGGCUGAAAAAGGGGCCUCCCAUGGUCUUGCCUCUGCCCUUCCAUCCCUGGGUAUUGCCUUCCUAGUCAGCCACUCUCUCUGGCACAUAAGGUGCAAACAGUCACCCCCCUCCGACAUUGAUACAACAGGAUGGUUCUCCUUUGCUUCUUUUUGCCUCCUUAUUUAUAUAAUAGGCCUCUCAUAAUUCAUCUUUGAAGAGCUCCUCUUCAUGCAUUGGGAGUUUCUCUCUGUGCAUGCAACUGCUCUUUGUCCCAAGAUACUUAUUAGCAAGAGCCACUCCAGAUCCUCUGUCAUCUGGUAAUAAUGCCCUCCAGGUACCCAGGACCCCCUUUUAAGAGCUGGAACCCUUACACCAGGGUUCUCUUCCUUGGUCCAAUUUUACCUCUUCUUCCAUCUCAGCCCUCACCCUCCAUGAUGUCUACAUAAAAGCCUACUUUCGGGGUAUGGCAUGAAAAUCCAGCUUCCACAAGAUCUACUUAAUGGCCAAAUGAAAUAAUGCCUGUCUAAUCUGGAUUCUUAGAAGUCGAGAUGGAAAAUGAGUGCUAAUAAUUUGAGAGGGCAAGGAACCUCUGUAAUGGAGUGUGGAAAUGAUGCAGAGGAGAGAGGGAGACAAUAAAAGAUGCAUUAUCAAACCAGCUAUUACAGUGGGCAGUGGAUGCUUAAUCUCAGUGAGGACACCCUGGGAACCAGUGUAGAACAUGCACCCCAGAGUUAACCUCAACCAAGGAGUGAGGGAGCUGGGAUAUUUAUACACCAGUUCCCCAUCACUCAAGGCUGAACACUGGAGCAUCAAUUCUCUAGUAUGUCCAGACUGCCAAACAGGCAGAGAAAAUAGGUUUUGGCACCAGAGAAUACUAUCUGGAAGCUGGAAGUCAGCCAUGCGCCCCGAAGUGCAGAGGGUGAGGAUCUAUAUAUGGACACUAUCUGCUUCAGUACCCCAGGUCAACACUGGAAAACCGGUGAGCCGAGUUAUGCUUUGUUUCAGACAUGCUUUCGUUAGCUCCCUUAGUAUGUCAGGAAGUAAACUGGAAUUAACUGCCAACGUUGGUAGAAUGGGAGGUUUCAUGUAACAACCCCAUUUCCAGUUUCUGUUGAAAAAUAAGAUCUGGCAACACUGGGCCCAAAUCCCUGCCUGGCAAGAAUCAGCUGAGAGCAAUUACAGCUGCCCCUUUUAGAUGGGGCAUGAGCUCUCCGGACCCCAAACCCCACGAGAUCAUUGUUACUCAUAUCUAUUAGCUGGCCACCAAGACCUCUAAGUUGGAGACCCUCUGUUCUAAAAGUUUGUUGCCACUCUGAUCCCUCUGUGAGUAACAUAAACCUGGUACAUCUUGUAUGUUUCAUCUCUUCCUUCCAGAUCUGUGAAGUGUAUUGCUCCAUCUCUCCCAUCUCGACCUUUUUAAUCCCUCUUGGACUUUUGUCAAUGAAAGGAACCAGGAGACCGGAUCCAUUAAACCAUAUCCAGACAUCAGAGUUAUUAUAAACUCUUUCUCUCUGGGUCAGGGUAGUCAAUCUCAGACAUUUUAAAAUUUAAUUUUAAAAAUUUUAAAUACAAAAUGUUUUUCAUGAACUCAAGGCCAUUGGGGGGAAGUGAACUAUUUCCCUUUUUACUCCCUCAACCCCUUCCAAUGUGAAGCUCCAGUAUCUCCUCUCUCUCUCUCUCUCUCUCUCUCUCUCUCUCUCUCUCUCUCUCUCCACUCCAAACCUCGCCUCAUCUCCUUGUUCCUUAAUAUACUCAGUGUUCACAUUCAGGUUUUUCUAAUAAGUAGUUAAAUCCCCCCACCACGAACUCCAGCUCCCUGGCGUUUCACUGGGAGUCUCUCUCAGCCCUCCAGGGAAGCCGGCACUGUUAUUUAUUGUUUUUGUUUCAAAUCAUUAUUUAAUCAAGAACGGGGAAAAAAGGCAACCUCUCACUUACACUUCAAAAUUUAAUUUCAGCUGAAUUCUAAGAUCAAGAGGCAGCACGGCCUAAUAGGAUACAAAAAUACAAUCAAGAAGAGAAUUCCAAUUAAACUGAACAAGUCCAUUUACUGAGCUUCAAAUGGCCCCAUAGAGAGAGGCGGCUAUACAUUUUUUUUUCUUCCCUGCCAUAUGGGAGACUGGAAAUUCUCAUGUGAGUGUGGAGCUGUAUGGUAGAGCUUUUAGCUAGAGGGUUCUGGUUAUUCCUUAAAAAAAAAAAAGCUUUUGUUUCACAAAGACAUUAAGUUUAUUUUCCUUUCUGUUGUUCAUCUUCCUUAGUGCACUAAUUAGGAAGACAGCAAAAGAAUGGAUUCAUUGACCUGGUAGGAGUUCAUCUGGGAGGAGGAGGAGAUGGAGAAAGAGAAGGGAGAUGUGCCGGGCAUUGUGGGAAGACAACAAAGUCCUUUAGGGCUGGGGCUAUCCCAUGGGGCUGUGCACUGCAUUGAACCUUUGGUAGGCAGAGGUGGUCUGGCCUCCUUAUUAUUUUCCUUAAGCAGGAGCCAGAGGGAAUGACAGCUUCAGGCUCACCCUUUCUUUGAAGCCUCUCCUGAGGACCCCCUGCCCACCUGUUCUCAGAAAUCCCCACCGGGACCCAGUUAGAUACAUUAUCACCAGCCCAAAUUGAAACAAGAAAAAAUAAGUUCAAUGUAAUUAGUUUUUCAUCCUGCUAAAUACUUUCGAUUUGAAGACUCAUUUUUUUCUUCCAAGGUCGUGUCUUUCCUACUUCUUCUGAUGGUAAAAUCUCCCUUUAGUGAUAGAAAAUGGUGGUUUUUUCUGUUCUUCCUUGGCAAAAGUAAAAGUUGACAAUGCUAUGUCACUUCCCAUUAAACAAAACAAAACAAAACAAAACAAACAAAAACCAAUGGCCCAGAAAAUCCCCAAAUCUCAUUUCAUCCACCUUCUGUACUUUGGUUCCUCCCUUCUCUCAACUAUGAUGAUGGUAUUGAAUGUUGGAUAUUGUGUCUCCCAGUUGAGCAAGAGCUCAAAGGCUUUGCAGAAUGUGCAAGCACCUGGACUAGGGGUCAGAAGGCCUGAGCCAUCCAGAUUCUCCCUCAGCCCUAUUUUCCCUAUCUACAAAGGGGGAAGCAUAUUCCCAUCUCGCCUUUCUCCUGGGGUUGUUG
Molecule: long non-coding RNA, 3836 nt
Filed under: Homo sapiens (human)
Lineage: Eukaryota; Metazoa; Chordata; Mammalia; Primates; Hominidae
Description: HSALNT0195824
Source: RNAcentral